RNAcentral lists this long non-coding RNA (617 nucleotides) under Homo sapiens (human). RNAcentral's name for it is "non-protein coding PRKAG2-AS1:11". Lineage: Eukaryota; Metazoa; Chordata; Mammalia; Primates; Hominidae. The record is from RNAcentral.
ACAGAGCCUGACAGGGGCAGAUGCACUGGAAGGACCCUGUCUGGGUUUAGCAACCAAGCAGCCAUCCUGGCCCCACAGGUGUGGGACUUCUGGGUCUUCUCCUGGCUGGCUUCUUGCUAGAGGAUUUCAAGAGACCCAGCAAGACUGUAUUGUCCCACUGAAUGCUCAAGAUAUUGGUUAGAAGUAGAAAAGGGGAGGGGGUAGUAUUUAGCCUCUGUCCCCACUAAAAAUUAUUCCCAAUUGUCAUUUGUGUCAUCUGUUUAGCUUACAGUUUUAAUCCUUGUCAAAAUGAUCAUUUGCCAGGGUGCAUAAAACACCCUAUUUGAUGAGAACUGGUUUUAAAGGAAAAUGGGGCCAUCAGAAGGAAGCCGGUUGGUGUGAAGAGACGUCUGGGAAGAGCCCCUGGCGAGGGCCCUCAUUCCACUGGGUGACCCAGAAGGAGAAAACCGCGAUGGCGCUUCUCAUUUGAAAUGUUUUCUUUAUGGACAGUGUUUAGCAAUUGUUAUAAUGUGUACUUUUGUUGAUUGAUCUGUAUACAUAUGUAAAAUAAUUUGUUCUCUGAGUUAAUUUUGUUGGAACAAAGACUUUAGUGCUUCCUACAUUAAAACAUUUUACUG